This 200-nucleotide ribosomal RNA is filed under the name uncultured bacterium. RNAcentral's name for it is "partial 16S ribosomal RNA". It matches the Rfam family "Bacterial small subunit ribosomal RNA", at positions 8 to 213 of the family's 1533-position model. The record is from RNAcentral.
AGAGUUUGAUCCUGGCUCAGAACGAACGCUGGCGGCGUGCCUAACACAUGCAAGUCGAACGUGAAAGUCUUCGGAUGAGUAAAGUGGCGCACGGGUGAGUAAUACACAGGAACGUGCCUUAGGGAUGGGGAUAACUACUGGAAACGGUAGCUAAUACCGAAUGUGCUCGAGAGAGGAAAGGGUGCCCUCUGUUUACAAGG